UAGGAAUUUUGGGCAAUGGGCGCAAGCCUGACCCAGCAACGCCGCGUGGGUGACGAAGGCCUUCGGGUUGUAAAGCCCUGUGGGGAGAGACGAAUAAGUUCCGGUUAAUACCCGGAGCGAUGACGGUAUCUCCUUAGCAAGCACCGGCUAACUCU
Molecule: ribosomal RNA, 155 nt
Filed under: uncultured bacterium
Lineage: Bacteria
Description: partial 16S ribosomal RNA
Rfam family: Bacterial small subunit ribosomal RNA
Source: RNAcentral